This 301-nucleotide unclassified non-coding RNA is filed under the name Glomus sp. Its description in RNAcentral is "partial contains 5.8S ribosomal RNA, internal transcribed spacer 2, and large subunit ribosomal RNA". Lineage: Eukaryota; Fungi; Glomeromycota; Glomeromycetes; Glomerales; Glomeraceae. The record is from RNAcentral.
UUUCCUCCUCCCCUUUUUUCCCUCCAAUUGCACUUUCUGGUAUUCCGGAAAGUAUGCCUGUUUGAGGGUCGGUUAAAUAAAAAUCGGUGUUGUUGCUGCUUUUCGUGGUGACGCGUCGGAAUUGAGUUGUCUUACCUUCGGUUAAGUGACUUAAAAUUUUGCAUGAUUUUCGAACGUAUUUAAAUUUCUUACGUACGUUUGAGAUAUCGAAUACUUUAUUAGGUUCGGUCAUCCUCAUGAUUCGCACCUAUAAUUUUUCAUUAAAUGACCUCAAAUCAGGUAAGAACACCAGCUUAACUUA